Prunus avium (sweet cherry) is the source of this 1498-nucleotide non-coding RNA. The record is from RefSeq and is a predicted model, not a curated record. NCBI's taxonomy places the organism in Eukaryota, Viridiplantae, Streptophyta, Magnoliopsida, Rosales, Rosaceae.
ACCAGUGCCUCAAGAAAAAGAGUCACAAGAAAAAAAGGAUUCUUCUCAAAAUCCAACCAUGGUUAGUGUUCUUAUGCUUCCAUGGCUAGCUCACGGCCACAUAUCUCCCUUCCUAGAGCUAGCCAAGAAGCUCACCAAUAAGAACAAUAAUUUUUACAUAUUUAUUUGUUCCACGCCUGUAAAUCUCAGCUCCAUCAAAUCAAAACUCUCUGAAGAAUACUCUCAUUGCAUUGAAUUUGUGGAACUACAUCUUCCACAUAAUGACUUGCCACCUCACUACCACACUACCAAUGGCCUCCCUCCCCAUCUCAUGGCCACUCUCAAAAAGGCCUUUGACAUGGCCAGCCCCAACUUCUCCAACAUCCUCAAAACCCUAAAGCCGGAUUUGCUCAUUUACGAUUUUCUUCAACCAUGGGCACCCUCUCUUGCUUUGUUGCAAAAUAUUCCAGCCAUAGAGUUCAGCAUCAUGAACGCUGCGCUCUUGAGUUCAAUUUGUGCUCACGAUCUCAACAAUCCUACUGCCAAAUUUCCUUUGCAUCUUCGGGAUUACGAUAUUCGAAAGUUCCACAAUCAGUGUGAAUUUUCAUCAAAUGGCAUCAAGGAUGGAGACCGCAUACAGCAAUGCUGUGCUCGAUCUUGUAAGAUCAUUUUGGUAAAGACAUCUAGAGAGAUUGAAGCAAAAUAUGUUGAUUAUCUCUCUGAUUUAGUGAGGAAGAAGAUUGUGCCGGUUGGUCCUCUUGUUCAAGACCCAAUGGAUCAAACACUUGAUGAGGAAACAUGGAUCAUGAAAUGGCUGAACAAAAGGGAGAGGUCUUCAGUUGUGUAUGUUUCCUUUGGCAGUGAGUACUUUUUGUCCAAGGAGGAAAUAGAAGACAUAGCUCAUGGGUUAGAGCUUAGCAAAGUGAGCUUUAUUUGGGUUAUAAGAUUUCCUAAGGAAGAGAAAGGUACUAGGGUUGAAGAGGUGUUACCAGAAGGGUUUUCAGAGAGGGUGGGAGAGAAGGGCCCCCCAGUCAAAAAUAUUGGAGCAUUACAGUGUCGGUGGGUUUGUGAGUCACUGUGGAUGGAGCUCAGUGUUGGAGAGCAUCAAGUUUGGUGUUCCAAUUAUAGCUUUGCCUAUGCUUUAUGACCAGCCAAUCAACGCUAGACUAGUGGAGGAGGUGGGUGUUGGAGUGGAGGUUAAGAGAACAGCAGAAGGCAGUUUGCAAAGUGAAGAGGUAGCAAAGAUGAUUAGAGAUGUGGUGGUGGAGAAAAUUGGAGAGGGUGUGAGAAAAAAGGCAUUGGAAUUAAGAGACAACAUGAAAAAGAAAGAGGAUGGAGAGAUAGAUGGGGUGGUGGAGGAGUUGAUGCAACUGUGCACCAGAUAGGAAUCAAGUACGACGUUUUGCAUAUAAUUUGCAAUUUGUCUAGUAACUAAAAAUAUUAAUGUUGGAUUUGUAUUCUCAGUUUUAAGCGAUGUUGGUUUUCUUUGUAUGUGGGAGAACAAUAUUACUAUGGAGGA